CCUACGGGAGGCAGCAGUGAGGAAUAUUGGUCAAUGGGCGCGAGCCUGAACCAGCCAAGUAGCGUGAAGGAUGAAUGCCCUAUGGUUUGUAAACCUCUUUUAUAAGGGAAUAAAGUGCGGCACGUGUGCCGUUUUGUAUGUACCUUAUGAAUAAGGAUCGGCUAACUCCGUGCCAGCAGCCGCGGUAAUACGGAGGAUCCGAGCGUUAUCCGGAUUUAUUGGGUUUAAAGGGAGCGUAGGUGGGUUGUUAAGUCAGUUGUGAAAGUUUGGGGCUCAACCGUAAAAUUGCAAUUGAUACUGGCAGUCUUGAGUAUAUUUGAGGCAGGCGGAAUGCGUGGUGUAGCGGUGAAAUGCUUAGAUAGCACGAAGAACCCCGAUUGCGAAGGCAGCUUACUAAGC
Molecule: ribosomal RNA, 399 nt
Filed under: uncultured bacterium
Lineage: Bacteria
Description: partial 16S ribosomal RNA
Rfam family: Bacterial small subunit ribosomal RNA
Source: RNAcentral